GUCUAUUUAUGCCCUAAAAAAUGAAAUGAAUCACUUAUUGGCAGCACAGAGAAGUCUUUCUAAACAUUAUCAGUCAAGCAUAGUGGGUCAUUACUGAAGCUACAACACAUGAGAGGUUAAUGCUGUAGGAUCAUUAGUUUGAUGUCAGUUUGGGCUACACAGUGAGUUCAAGGCCAAGCCUGGACUACACAGCAAGACCCUGUCUCAACGUCAAAUAAUUAUUAUUCAUUAAGACAAUUUCAAUCUCCUGGUCACUUCAUAAUGUAACUUUUAAAAGAACCAUAAAAACUGUGAUCAAGAUUGAUUUUAUAAAUGGGAGGCAAAGAUGGUUUAUGCUAUACUGAAUGAACAAAAUGAAAGAAAAGUCCAUAUUAUAGGAGAUGUACAGGAUCAUGUAACAUCAUACAAUAUCAACUGAUGGUUAAGUCAAUAAACUUGAUAGAAAUAUAUUUCAUCAUGACAGCACAUGAAAAACAAAUUCAGUUUUCAUUCAGUUACAAAGCUCAAACUUCUCAAGGGCAGGUUUACGUACCUACCUUUCCUUCUUAUAUUCAGGAAAUACUGGGAAAAGCCUAGCUGGAGCAAUCAGGGUAAGAAAAAAGUCACCCAAAUAAGAAAAGUAAAAUUGUUUCAGGUUAACAGGGCAUCCAUGAAAAAAAAAUUAUAAAAACUCAUAAAACAUAAGACUUUCAAGUCAACAGUAUCUUUACAUACUACAAAUUUAAAAAGCAAAAUAUUAUACAACAUAUAAAACUACAUAAAAUGAUAGAGAACAAAGUUAAACAGGAAAAAUCUAAACUACCAUGAACAAGACCAUAAACAAUUUGCAAGGUAUGCCACACACAUUGAGAGAAUUACCAUUGUUACAAUGUCCAUCCUGCCCAAAGUGCUUUGUAGAUUACCACUGCAUUAACAAUUCUAAAGGCAUUUUCCCCCACAGGCUUAAAAAAAAAAAAAAAAGUCAUAAGAAAUCAAAACCUUUCAGUUAAGCCCAAAAGGACUUAAAUAAAAACAAAAAUUCUAGGCUUAACAAUGUAUUACAGGGCUAGAGAUGUCCACUUAGUAUGAAGUUUGAUAAGCACUGAGCGUGCAAAGUAUGGUGGUACAUGCCUAGAAUCAUACUAGGAGAUAAAGGCAAGAUCAAAAGUCCAAGGUCAUUAGGUCAUUCUUGAUCAUUUAGUUAAUCUCAAAGGCAGUCUAAGCUCCAAUAAACCUUGUCUUAAGAAAGAACAGCAAAAACAAGACCAGUAUAUAGGCAGAAAUCAAACAGUAUAAUACUGAUACAAACAAUAUAAAUAAAUUGUUUACAAAUAAGCAUAUAGUCAAUGGCAGGCAUAGGGGCACAUAACUUUAAUUCCAGCACUCUGGGAGGCAGACAGGUAGAUCUCUGUGAGUUCCGGGCUCUACAUAGCAGGUUCUAGGCCAGCCAGAUUAUAAAGAUAUUAUCCAAAAAACAAACAAAUAAAACAAUAAAAGCCCUUUAUGUGGUCCACAUAAUUUCAACAAUGAAGUUAGAACUAUAGCUUGAUGGUAGAGCACCUGCCUAGCAUCCUUGAGGCCACAAAUUCAAUUCCUAGCACCAAAACAGAAACUGUAACAGUAUACUAAAACAAAAACAGUAUACACAUAGAUAAGCUUAGGGGGGUUAAAAAAGAAAAGGAAAUCAAAUAAUAGUAAAAGAAAUACAGUUAAGUUGGAUAGGCUGGCUCAAACCCAAAAUCUCAGCACUCAAAAGGUCUGGGGAAGAAAUACUGCUCCAAGUUUAAUGCCAGCCUGCUCUAUGCUAUCAUGGAUUACAUAGUUAGGUUACCACAAACAAACAAAACCCUGAAAGUAAAAUCUAAAACUGUAACAUAAUGAAACUCCAAGAAUGCUUCCAGACACACCAGCAAAGAAUUUUAGAGCUGACAUGAAAAUUAUGGGCAUUAAAAGCAAAAAUAAAGAAUUAAGGCCAUAUCAAACUAAAGAUUCUGUAUAGCAAUAAAAAAAAAAACUGAAAAAGCAUGUACACAGCCAAAUUCAUACACACUAGUACACAUACACACAA
This 2047-nucleotide long non-coding RNA is filed under the name Mus caroli (Ryukyu mouse). Its description in RNAcentral is "lncRNA (MGP_CAROLIEiJ_G0006741.1)". Lineage: Eukaryota; Metazoa; Chordata; Mammalia; Rodentia; Muridae. The record is from RNAcentral.